This 1271-nucleotide ribosomal RNA is filed under the name uncultured bacterium. Its description in RNAcentral is "bacterial SSU rRNA". It matches the Rfam family "Bacterial small subunit ribosomal RNA", at positions 9 to 1240 of the family's 1533-position model. The record is from RNAcentral.
GAGUUUGAUUCAUUGGCUCAGAACGAACGCUGGCGGCGCGUCUUAAGCACGCAAGUCGAACGGCAAGAGAGGGGCUUGCUUUCUCUCCUAGAGUGGCGGACUGGUGAGGAACACGUGGGUAAUCUACCCUUAAGAUGGGGAUAGCUGCUAGAAAUAGCAGGUAAUACCGAAUACACUCAAGACUUCAUAAGAGGUAUUGAGGAAAGGAAGCUACGGCUUCGCUUGAGGAUGAGCUUGCGUCCCAUUAGCUAGUUGGUGAGGUAACGGCCCACCAAGGCGACGAUGGGUAUCCGGCCUGAGAGGGUGAACGGACACAUUGGGACUGAGAUACGGCCCAAACUCCUACGGGAGGCAGCAGCUAAGAAUAUUCCGCAAUGGACGGAAGUCUGACGGAGCGACGCCGCGUGGAUGAAGAAGGCUGAAAAGUUGUAAAAUCCUUUUGUUGAUGAAGAAUAAGGGUGAGAGGGAAUGCUCAUCUGAUGACGGUAAUCGGCGAAUAAGCCCCGGCUAAUUACGUGCCAGCAGCCGCGGUAACACGUAAGGGGCGAGCGUUGUUCGGAAUUAUUGGGCGUAAAGGGCAUGUAGGCGGUUAUGUAAGCCUGGUGUGAAAUCCUGGGGCUUAACCCUAGAAUAGCAUUGGGUACUGUGUAACUUGAAUUACGGAAGGGAAACUGGAAUUCCAAGUGUAGGGGUGGAAUCUGUAGAUAUUUGGAAGAACACCGGUGGCGAAGGCGGGUUUCUGGCCGAUAAAUUGACGCUGAGAUGCGAAAAGUGUGGGGAAUCGAACAGGAUUAGAUACCCUGGUAGUCCACACCGUAAACGAUGUACACUAGGUGUUGGGGCAAGAGCUUCAGUGCCAAAAGCAAAACGCGAUAAGUGUACCGCCUGGGGAGUAUGCCCGCAAAGGGUGAAAACUCAAAAGGAAAUUGACGGGGGCCCGCACAAGCGGUGGAGCAUGUGGUUUAAUUCGAUGGUACGCGAGGAACCUUACCUGGGUUUGACAUCUAGCGGAAUGCCUUAGAGAUAAGGCCGUGUAGUUUACUACACCGCUAGACAGGUGCUGCAUGGCUGUCGUCAGCUCGUGCCGUGAGGUGUUGGGUUAAAGUCCCGCAAACGAGCGCAAACCCCUACUGCCAGUUACUAAACAGGUAAAAGCUUGAGGACUCUGGCGGAACUGCCGAUGACGAAAUCGGAGGAAAGGUGGGGAUGACGUCGAAGUCAUCGUGGCCCCUUAUGUCCGGGGCUACGACGCGUGCUACGAUGGUUACUAC